This 441-nucleotide ribosomal RNA is filed under the name uncultured bacterium. RNAcentral's name for it is "bacterial SSU rRNA". It matches the Rfam family "Bacterial small subunit ribosomal RNA", at positions 355 to 786 of the family's 1533-position model. The record is from RNAcentral.
UAGGGAAUAUUGCGCAAUGAACGAAAGUUUGACGCAGCGACGCCGCGUGAGGGAAGAAGGUUUUCGGAUCGUAAACCUCUGUCAAGGGGGGAAGAAGUGUAUGCGCUCUAACAUAGCGUGUAUUUGACGGUACCUCUGAAGGAAGCACCGGCUAACUCCGUGCCAGCAGCCGCGGUAAUACGGAGGGUGCGAGCGUUAAUCGGAAUUACUGGGCGUAAAGCGCGCGUAGGCGGAAGCCUAAGUCAGGAGUGAAAUCCCCGGGCUUAACUUGGGAAUAGCUUUUGAUACUGGGUUUCUUGAGUUCAGGAGAGGGUGGCGGAAUUCCAGGUGUAGGAGUGAAAUCCGUAGAGAUCUGGAGGAACAUCAGUGGCGAAGGCGGCCACCUGGACUGAUACUGACGCUGAGGUGCGAAAGCGUGGGUAGCAAACAGGAUUAGAUACC